AACGAACGCUGGCGGAAUGCUUUACACAUGCAAGUCGAACGGCAGCACGGGGGCAACCCUGGUGGCGAGUGGCGAACGGGUGAGUAAUACAUCGGAACGUGCCCAGUCGUGGGGGAUAACGUAGCGAAAGUUACGCUAAUACCGCAUACGAUCUACGGAUGAAAGCGGGGGACCGUAAGGCCUCGCGCGAUUGGAGCGGCCGAUGUCAGAUUAGGUAGUUGGUGAGGUAAAGGCUCACCAAGCCGACGAUCUGUAGCUGGUCUGAGAGGACGACCAGCCAGACUGGGACUGAGACACGGCCCAGACUCCUACGGGAGGCAGCAGUGGGGAAUUUUGGACAAUGGGCGCAAGCCUGAUCCAGCCAUUCCGCGUGCAGGACGAAGGCCUUCGGGUUGCAAACUGCUUUUGUACGGAACGAAAAGGCUCUGGUUAAUACCUGGGGCCCAUGACGGUACCGUAAGAAUAAGCACCGGCUAACUACGUGCCAGCCGCCGCCGUAA
Molecule: ribosomal RNA, 500 nt
Filed under: uncultured bacterium
Lineage: Bacteria
Description: partial 16S ribosomal RNA
Rfam family: Bacterial small subunit ribosomal RNA
Source: RNAcentral